Molecule: long non-coding RNA, 709 nt
Organism: Quercus robur (English oak)
Lineage: Eukaryota; Viridiplantae; Streptophyta; Magnoliopsida; Fagales; Fagaceae
Exons: 2
Source: RefSeq, a predicted model, not a curated record
UUAAAAUUGUAAUUGUCAUUUGAUCACCUUCGGCUGCUUGCUCCGACGUGAAAAACAAUGAGUCACCAAUACCGUACGGUACGGUAGCGUUCCAGUCCAAAUCCACCCACUAGUUUUGUUUUCAUCGUUCCAAAUGAGCUUUCAGAAUUGUGAUGAGCAAACAACAACAACAGGAAGAACAAUGGAAUUGGAUCUGCUUCAAUGCGAAAAGGGUCUAUACAUAAUACAAUAGACUGCAAUCUCACCAGGCUCGACUGGAUUACUUUAAUGGUGUGUUUUAUCACCUACGGUUGAGGGGAAAAUGCAACAUGCCCUUGUGAUGUAUUAUUCUCUAUUACUUCUGGGUUAUCAAAGGAAAAAGGAUGCUUUUCAUUUGUCUUUGAAAUGGAUUACGUCUUUUAUGGUUAAGAUUUAGUUUUCAAGAAUCUAUAGGAGUAUGCAAUGUCACGACAUUCAAAAUCAAUUAUCAACUUAUCAUUCCUUUAUUUGAUGGAAUGGAAUUUCAAAUAAUGUGACACCAUGUAUACCCUUAGAUUCAAGUUAAAUGUUGACCAUGAAAUAGAACAUAUCCAUUUCUUUCAAAAUGGAGGACUCCUUUGUAUUGAAUCAAAAUUGAUCCACCAGAUGUGUAAAAUGAUAAUUGGAUUAUCUAGUUUGCUAUAAGAGUUUAUGAAGAACAUUGCACGAAUGGAAAUUUAUGUUCUAAUCA